GGUCCUGAGCGUCAGCGUCAAGCCCCGGCUCGCUGACCGGCAACCCUCCACUGGGACGGGGUGCCCCGGGUGACGACCUGGCGGACGCGCACCGCGCGUCCGCAAGCCCAGCCG
This 114-nucleotide non-coding RNA is filed under the name Geodermatophilus nigrescens. RNAcentral's name for it is "SAM-IV sequence". It matches the Rfam family "SAM (S-adenosyl methionine) riboswitch aptamer". From Rfam's summary of the family: SAM-IV is a mRNA element that regulates gene expression via direct sensing of S-adenosylmethionine (SAM or AdoMet). SAM-IV riboswitches share conserved nucleotide positions with the previously described SAM-I riboswitches sequence analysis and molecular recognition experiments suggest that SAM-I and SAM-IV riboswitches share similar ligand binding sites, but have different scaffolds. The record is from Rfam by way of RNAcentral. Lineage: Bacteria; Bacillati; Actinomycetota; Actinomycetes; Geodermatophilales; Geodermatophilaceae.